UUAGGUUUUCUUCAUUUUCUUCUGAGAUUUUUGUUGUUGAAGGUUGAUGGAGAUGAUAUGAAAAUGAAAAAUAAGAGAAG
RNAcentral lists this microRNA precursor (80 nucleotides) under Medicago truncatula (barrel medic). RNAcentral describes it as "MIR5298 microRNA precursor family". It matches the Rfam family "MIR5298 microRNA precursor family". Lineage: Eukaryota; Viridiplantae; Streptophyta; Magnoliopsida; Fabales; Fabaceae. The record is from Rfam by way of RNAcentral.